Molecule: ribosomal RNA, 460 nt
Filed under: uncultured Cellulomonas sp.
Lineage: Bacteria; Bacillati; Actinomycetota; Actinomycetes; Micrococcales; Cellulomonadaceae
Description: bacterial SSU rRNA
Rfam family: Bacterial small subunit ribosomal RNA
Source: RNAcentral
CCGCACAAGCGGCGGAGCAUGCGGAUUAAUUCGAUGCAACGCGAAGAACCUUACCAAGGCUUGACAUACACCGGUAACGCCCAGAGAUGGGUGCCCCUUUGUGGUCGUGUACAGGUGGUGCAUGGUUGUCGUCAGCUCGUGUCGUGAGAUGUUGGGUUAAGUCCCGCAACGAGCGCAACCCUCGUCCUAUGUUGCCAGCGGGUCAUGCCGGGGACUCAUGGGAGACUGCCGGGGUCAACUCGGAGGAAGGUGGGGAUGACGUCAAAUCAUCAUGCCCCUUAUGUCUUGGGCUUCACGCAUGCUACAAUGGCCGGUACAAAGGGCUGCGAUACCGCGAGGUGGAGCGAAUCCCAGAAAGCCGGUCUCAGUUCGGAUUGGGGUCUGCAACUCGACCCCAUGAAGUCGGAGUCGCUAGUAAUCGCAGAUCAGCAACGCUGCGGUGAAUACGUUCCCGGGCCUU